Molecule: small nuclear RNA, 23 nt
Filed under: Arabidopsis thaliana (thale cress)
Lineage: Eukaryota; Viridiplantae; Streptophyta; Magnoliopsida; Brassicales; Brassicaceae
Description: snRNA_08337
Source: RNAcentral
UCUAGUUAGGAAUCAUGAUCUUU